UACGUAGGGGGCAAGCGUUGUCCGGAAUCAUUGGGCGUAAAGCGCGUGUAGGCGGUUCAGUAAGUCUGCUGUGAAAGUCCAGGGCUCAACCCUGGGAUGCCGGUGGAUACUGCUGGACUAGAGUGCGGAAGAGGCGAGUGGAAUUCCCGGUGUAGCGGUGAAAUGCGCAGAUAUCAGGAGGAACACCGGUGGCGAAGGCGGGUCUCUGGGCAACAACUGACGCUGAGGAGCGAAAGCGUGGGGAGCGAACAGG
Molecule: ribosomal RNA, 253 nt
Filed under: uncultured bacterium
Lineage: Bacteria
Description: partial 16S ribosomal RNA
Rfam family: Bacterial small subunit ribosomal RNA
Source: RNAcentral